Molecule: ribosomal RNA, 941 nt
Filed under: Trametes polyzona
Lineage: Eukaryota; Fungi; Basidiomycota; Agaricomycetes; Polyporales; Polyporaceae
Description: eukaryotic LSU rRNA
Rfam family: 5.8S ribosomal RNA (bases 186-339)
Source: RNAcentral
UUUUGAAACGGGUUGUAGCUGGCCUUUCGAGGCAUGUGCACACCCUGCUCAUCCACUUUACACCUGUGCACUUACUGUAGGUUGGCGUGGGCUUCGGACCUCCGGGUUCGAGGCAUUCUGCCGCCCUAUGUACAAUAUAAACUCCGAAGUAACAGAAUGUAAACGCGUCUAACGCAUCUUAAUACAACUUUCAGCAACGGAUCUCUUGGCUCUCGCAUCGAUGAAGAACGCAGCGAAAUGCGAUAAGUAAUGUGAAUUGCAGAAUUCAGUGAAUCAUCGAAUCUUUGAACGCACCUUGCGCUCCUUGGUAUUCCGAGGAGCAUGCCUGUUUGAGUGUCAUGAAAUUCUCAACCCAUAGAUCCUUGUGGUCUACGGGCUUGGAUUUGGAGGCUUGCCGGCCCUUACACGGGGUCGGCUCCUCUUGAAUGCAUUAGCUUGAUUCCGUGCGAAUCGGCUCUCAGUGUGAUAAUUGUCUACGCUGUGGCCGUGAAGCGUUUGGCGAGCUUCUAACCGUCCGUUAGGACAACUUCUUGACAUCUGACCUCAAAUCAGGUAGGACUACCCGCUGAACUUAAGCAUAUCAAUAAGGCGGAGGAAGAUCAUUAACGAGUUUUGAAACGGGUUGUAGCUGGCCUUUCGAGGCAUGUGCACACCCUGCUCAUCACUUUACACCUGGGCACUUAGUGUAGGUUGGCGUGGGCUUCGGACCUCGGGUUCGAGGCAUUCUGCGGCCUAUGUUAACUAUAAAUUCGAAAUAACGAAUGUAAACGCGUUUAGCAUUUAAUACAACUUUACAACGUAUUCUUUGGGCUUCCCUUCAUUAAAACGCACCACUGNAUAGUUAUGUGAAUUGCAGAUUAUGAAUCAUCAAUCUUUGACGCACUUGCGCUCUUGGUUAUUCGAGGAGCAUGCUGUUUGAGUGUCAUGAAAUUCUCACCACA